RNAcentral lists this ribosomal RNA (2345 nucleotides) under Streptococcus pneumoniae NP112. RNAcentral describes it as "bacterial LSU rRNA". It matches the Rfam family "Bacterial large subunit ribosomal RNA", at positions 14 to 2381 of the family's 2925-position model. The record is from RNAcentral. Lineage: Bacteria; Bacillati; Bacillota; Bacilli; Lactobacillales; Streptococcaceae.
AGGGCGCACGGUGGAUGCCUUGGCACUAGGAGCCGACGAAGGACGUGACAAACGACGAUAUGCCUUGGGUAGCUGUAAGUAAGCGAUGAUCCAGGGAUUUCCGAAUGGGGGAACCCAACAGGUAGUACCUGUUACCCACAUCUGUUAAGGAUGUGAGGAGGAAGACGCAGUGAACUGAAACAUCUAAGUAGCUGCAGGAAGAGAAAGCAAAAGCGAUUGCCUUAGUAGCGGCGAGCGAAACGGCAGGAGGGCAAACUGAAGAGUUUACUCUUCGGGGUUGUAGGACUGCAAUGUGGACUCAAAGAUUAUAGAAGAAUGAUUUGGGAAGAUCAGCCAAAGAGAGUAAUAGCCUCGUAUUUAAAAUAGUCUUUGUACCUAGCAGUAUCCUGAGUACGGCGGGACACGUGAAAUCCCGUCGGAAUCUGGGAGGACCAUCUCCCAACCCUAAAUACUCCCUAGUGACCGAUAGUGAACCAGUACCGUGAGGGAAAGGUGAAAAGCACCCCGGGAGGGGAGUGAAAUAGAACCUGAAACCGUGUGCCUACAACAAGUUCGAGCCCGUUAAUGGGUGAGAGCGUGCCUUUUGUAGAAUGAACCGGCGAGUUACGUUAUGAUGCGAGGUUAAGUUGAAGAGACGGAGCCGUAGGGAAACCGAGUCUGAAUAGGGCGCCUUAGUAUCAUGACGUAGACCCGAAACCAUGUGACCUACCCAUGAGCAGGUUGAAGGUGCGGUAAGACGCACUGGAGGACCGAACCAGGGCACGUUGAAAAGUGCUUGGAUGACUUGUGGGUAGCGGAGAAAUUCCAAAACGAACUUGGAGAUAGCUGGUUCUCUCCGAAAUAGCUUUAGGGCUAGCGUCGACAUUAGAGAUUCUUGGAGGUAGAGCACUGUUUGGGUGAGGGGUCCAUCCCGGAUUACCAAUCUCAGAUAAACUCCGAAUGCCAAUGAAUUAUGGUCGGCAGUCAGACUGCGAGUGCUAAGAUCCGUAGUCGAAAGGGAAACAGCCCAGACCACCAGCUAAGGUCCCAAAAUAAUUGUUAAGUGGAAAAGGAUGUGGGGUUGCACAGACAACUAGGAUGUUAGCUUAGAAGCAGCUAUUCAUUCAAAGAGUGCGUAAUAGCUCACUAGUCGAGUGACCCUGCGCCGAAAAUGUACCGGGGCUAAAACAAUUUACCGAAGCUGUGGAUACCUUUAUAGGUAUGGUAGGAGAGCGUUCUAUGUGUGAUGAAGGUAUACCGUGAGGAGUGCUGGAACGCAUAGAAGUGAGAAUGCCGGUAUGAGUAGCGAAAGACAGGUGAGAAUCCUGUCCACCGUAAGACUAAGGUUUCCAGGGGAAGGCUCGUCCGCCCUGGGUUAGUCGGGACCUAAGGAGAGACCGAAAGGUGUAUCCGAUGGACAACAGGUUGAUAUUCCUGUACUAGAGUAUGUAGUGAUGGAGGGACGCAGUAGGCUAACUAAAGCAGACGAUUGGAAGAGUCUGUCUAAGCAGUGAGGUGUGAAUUGAGUCAAAUGCUUAAUUCUAUAACAUUGAGCUGUGAUGGGGAGCGAAGUUUAGUAGCGAAGUUAGUGACGUCACACUGCCAAGAAAAGCUUCUAGCGUUUAAACAUACUCUACCCGUACCGCAAACCGACACAGGUAGUCGAGGCGAGUAGCCUCAGGUGAGCGAGAGAACUCUCGUUAAGGAACUCGGCAAAAUGACCCCGUAACUUCGGGAGAAGGGGUGCUGACUUAAAGUCAGCCGCAGUGAAUAGGCCCAAGCAACUGUUUAUCAAAAACACAGCUCUCUGCUAAAUCGUAAGAUGAUGUAUAGGGGGUGACGCCUGCCCGGUGCUGGAAGGUUAAGAGGAGUGCUUAGCGUAAGCGAAGGUAUGAAUUGAAGCCCCAGUAAACGGCGGCCGUAACUAUAACGGUCCUAAGGUAGCGAAAUUCCUUGUCGGGUAAGUUCCGACCCGCACGAAAGGCGUAAUGAUUUGGGCACUGUCUCAACGAGAGACUCGGUGAAAUUUUAGUACCUGUGAAGAUGCAGGUUACCCGCGACAGGACGGAAAGACCCCAUGGAGCUUUACUGCAGUUUGAUAUUGAGUGUCUGUACCACAUGUACAGGAUAGGUAGGAGUCUAAGAGAUCGGGACGCCAGUUUCGAAGGAGACGCUGUUGGGAUACUACCCUUGUGUUAUGGCCACUCUAACCCAGAUAGGUGAUCCCUAUCGGAGACAGUGUCUGACGGGCAGUUUGACUGGGGCGGUCGCCUCCUAAAAGGUAACGGAGGCGCCCAAAGGUUCCCUCAGAAUGGUUGGAAAUCAUUCGCAGAGUGUAAAGGUAUAAGGGAGCUUGACUGCGAGAG